CCUACGGGUGGCAGCAGUGAGGAAUAUUGGUCAAUGGGCGCAAGCCUGAACCAGCCAAGUAGCGUGAAGGAUGACUGUCCUACGGUUUGUAAGCUUCUUUUAUAAAGGAAUAAAGUGAGGCACGAGUGCCUUUUUGUAUGUACUUUAUGUAUAAGGAUCGGCUAACUCCGUGCCAGCAGCCGCGGUAAUACGGAGGAUCCGAGCGUUAUCCGGGUUUAUUGGGUUUAAAGGGAGCGUAGAUGGGUUGUUAAGUCAGUUGUGAAAGUUUGGGGCUCAACCUCAAAAUUGCAAUUGAGACUGGCAGCCUUGAGUACAGUUGAGGUAAGCGGAAUUCGUGGUGUAGCGGUGAAAUGCUUAGAUAUCACGAAGAACACCGAUUGCGAAGGCAGCUUACUAAACUGCCACUGACACUGAUGCACGAAAGUGUGGGUAUCAAACAGGAUUAGAUACCCGAGUAGUC
Molecule: ribosomal RNA, 460 nt
Filed under: uncultured bacterium
Lineage: Bacteria
Description: partial 16S ribosomal RNA
Rfam family: Bacterial small subunit ribosomal RNA
Source: RNAcentral